GAACCAGCCAAGUAGCGUGAAGGAUGACUGCCCUAUGGGUUGUAAACUUCUUUUAUAUGGGAAUAAAGUGAGCCACGUGUGGCUUUUUGUAUGUACCAUACGAAUAAGGAUCGGCUAACUCCGUGCCAGCAGCCGCGGUAAUUGA
This 145-nucleotide ribosomal RNA is filed under the name uncultured bacterium. Its description in RNAcentral is "partial 16S ribosomal RNA". It matches the Rfam family "Bacterial small subunit ribosomal RNA", at positions 385 to 529 of the family's 1533-position model. The record is from RNAcentral.